This 497-nucleotide ribosomal RNA is filed under the name uncultured bacterium. RNAcentral's name for it is "partial 16S ribosomal RNA". It matches the Rfam family "Bacterial small subunit ribosomal RNA", at positions 28 to 507 of the family's 1533-position model. The record is from RNAcentral.
GAUGAACGCUGGCGGCGUGCCUAAUACAUGCAAGUCGAGCGAACGGAUGAGAAGCUUGCUUCUCUGAUGUUAGCGGCGGACGGGUGAGUAACACGUGGAUAACCUACCUAUAAGACUGGGAUAACUUCGGGAAACCGGAGCUAAUACCGGAUAAUAUUUUGAACCGCAUGGUUCAAAAGUGAAAGACGGUCUUGCUGUCACUUAUAGAUGGAUCCGCGCGGCAUUAGCUAGUUGGUAAGGUAACGGCUUACCAAGGCAACGAUGCAUAGCCGACCUGAGAGGGUGAUCGGCCACACUGGAACUGAGACACGGUCCAGACUCCUACGGGAGGCAGCAGUAGGGAAUCUUCCGCAAAGGGCGAAAGCCUGACGGAGCAACGCCGCGUGAGUGAUGAAGGUCUUCGGAUCGUAAAACUCUGUUAUUAGGGAAGAACAUAUGUGUAAGUAACUGUGCACAUCUUGACGGUACCUAAUCAGAAAGCCACGGCUAACUACGUG